This 205-nucleotide ribosomal RNA is filed under the name uncultured bacterium. RNAcentral's name for it is "partial 16S ribosomal RNA". It matches the Rfam family "Bacterial small subunit ribosomal RNA", at positions 568 to 774 of the family's 1533-position model. The record is from RNAcentral.
UGUGUAGGCGGUUCUCUAAGUCUGGUGUGAAAUCUCCCGGCUCAACUGGGAGGGUGCGCCGAAAACUGGAGGACUAGAGUGCGGGAUGGGAGAGUGGAAUUCCUGGUGUAGCGGUGAAAUGCGUAGAUAUCAGGAGGAACACCUGUGGUGUAGACGGCUCUCUGGACCGCAACUGACGCUGAGACACGAAAGCUGGUAGCAAACA